ACGGCAGCCGGGGGCAACCCUGGUGGCGAGUGGCGAACGGGUGAGUAAUAUAUCGGAACGUACCCAGUAGUGGGGGAUAACUAUCCGAAAGGAUAGCUAAUACCGCAUACGAUCUGUGGAUGAAAGCAGGGGAUCUUCGGACCUUGUGCUAUUGGAAUGGCCGAUAUCUGAUUAGCUAGUUGGUAGGGUAAAAGCCUACCAAGGCGACGAUCAGUAGCUGGUCUGAGAGGACGACCAGCCACACUGGAACUGAGACACGGUCCAGACUCCUACGGGAGGCAGCAGUGGGGAAUUUUGGACAAUGGGGGCAACCCUGAUCCAGCAAUGCCGCGUGAGUGAAGAAGGCCCUCGGGUUGUAAAGCUCUUUUGUCAGGGAAGAAACGGUGAUCUCUAAUAUAGAUUGCUAAUGACGGUACCUGAAGAAUAAGCACCGGCUAACUACGUGCCAGCAGCCGCGGUAAUACGUAGGGUGCAAGCGUUAAUCGGAAUUACUGGGCGUAAAGCGUGCGCAGGCGGUUUUGUAAGUCUGAUGUGAAAUCCCCGGGCUCAACCUGGGAACUGCAUUGGAGACUGCAAGGCUAGAGUGUGUCAGAGGGGGGUAGAAUUCCACGUGUAGCAGUGAAAUGCGUAAAGAUGUGGAGGAAUACCGAUGGCGAAGGCAGCCCCCUGGGAUAACCCUGACGCUCAUGCACGAAAGCGUGGGGAGCAAACAGGAUUAGAUACCCUGGUAAUCCCACGCCCUAAACGAAGUCUACUAGUUGCCGGGACCUUAUUGUCUUGGUAAC
This 785-nucleotide ribosomal RNA is filed under the name uncultured Oxalobacteraceae bacterium. RNAcentral describes it as "bacterial SSU rRNA". It matches the Rfam family "Bacterial small subunit ribosomal RNA", at positions 66 to 847 of the family's 1533-position model. The record is from RNAcentral. Lineage: Bacteria; Pseudomonadati; Pseudomonadota; Betaproteobacteria; Burkholderiales; Oxalobacteraceae.